Molecule: ribosomal RNA, 277 nt
Filed under: uncultured Glomus
Lineage: Eukaryota; Fungi; Glomeromycota; Glomeromycetes; Glomerales; Glomeraceae
Description: partial 18S ribosomal RNA
Rfam family: Eukaryotic small subunit ribosomal RNA
Source: RNAcentral
UUGGAGGGCAAGUCUGGUGCCAGCAGCCGCGGUAAUUCCAGCUCCAAUAGCGUAUAUUAAAGUUGUUGCAGUUAAAAAGCUCGUAGUUGAAUUUCGGGGUUAGUAGGUUGGUCAUGCCUCCGGUAUGUACUGGUCUCACUGAUUCCUCCUUCCUGAUGAACCGUAAUGCCAUUAAUUUGGUGUUGCGGGGAAUUUGGACUGUUACUUUGAAAAAAUUAGAGUGUUUAAAGCAAGCUAACGCUUGAAUACAUUAGCAUGGAAUAAUGAAAUAGGUACG